AAAUUGAAGAGUUUGAUCAUGGCUCAGAUUGAACGCUGGCGGCAGGCCUAACACAUGCAAGUCGAACGGUAACAGAAAGCAGCUUGCUGCUUUGCUGACGAGUGGCGGACGGGUGAGUAAUGUCUGGGAAACUGCCUGAUGGAGGGGGAUAACUACUGGAAACGGUGGCUAAUACCGCAUAACGUCGCAAGACCAAAGAGGGGGACCUUCGGGCCUCUUGCCAUCAGAUGUGCCCAGAUGGGAUUAGCUUGUUGGUGAGGUAA
RNAcentral lists this ribosomal RNA (263 nucleotides) under Salmonella enterica. RNAcentral's name for it is "partial 16S ribosomal RNA". It matches the Rfam family "Bacterial small subunit ribosomal RNA", at positions 1 to 260 of the family's 1533-position model. The record is from RNAcentral. Lineage: Bacteria; Pseudomonadati; Pseudomonadota; Gammaproteobacteria; Enterobacterales; Enterobacteriaceae.